Molecule: ribosomal RNA, 494 nt
Filed under: uncultured bacterium
Lineage: Bacteria
Description: partial 16S ribosomal RNA
Rfam family: Bacterial small subunit ribosomal RNA
Source: RNAcentral
GACGAACGCUGGCGGCGUGCUUAACACAUGCCAGUCGAACGGAAAGGCCUGCUUUCCCUUGUGGAUUGCGGGUGCUCGAGUGGCGAACGGGUGAGUAACACGUGAGUGAUCUGCCCCCAACUUGGGUAUAAGCCCGGGAAACUGGGUCUAAUUCCCGAUAGGACUGCAGGGUGGUGCCUGUGGUGGAAAACGAUUUUCUAGUGGUUGGGGAUGAGCUCGCGGCCUAUCAGCUUGUUGGUGGGGUAAUGGCCUACCAAGGCGGCGACGGGUAGCCGGCCUGGGAGGGUGGACGGCCACAUUGGGACUGAGAUACGGCCCAGACUCCUACGGGAGGCAGCAGUGGGGAAUAUUGCACAAUGGGCGGAAGCCUGAUGCAGCGACGCCGCGUGGGGGAUGACGGCCUUCGGGUUGUAAACUCCUUUCGACCGCGAGGAAGCCACCUGGUUGGAAGGGUGGUGACGGUAGUGGUAGAAGAAGCACCGGCUAACUACGUG